GACGAACGCUGGCGGCGUGCUUAACACAUGCAAGUCGGACGGAAAGGCCCUGCUUUUGUGGGGUGCUCGAGUGGCGAACGGGUGAGUAACACGUGAGUAACCUGCCCUUGACUUUGGGAUAACUUCAGGAAACUGGGGCUAAUACCGGAUAGGAGCUCCUGCUGCAUGGUGGGGGUUGGAAAGUUUCGGCGGUUGGGGAUGGACUCGCGGCUUAUCAGCUUGUUGGUGGGGUAGUGGCUUACCAAGGCUUUGACGGGUAGCCGGCCUGAGAGGGUGACCGGCCACAUUGGGACUGAGAUACGGCCCAGACUCCUACGGGAGGCAGCAGUGGGGAAUAUUGCACAAUGGGCGGAAGCCUGACGCAGCAACGCCGCGUGCGGGAUGACGGCCUUCGGGUUGUAAACCGCUUUCGCCUGUGACGAAGCGUGAGUGACGGUAAUGGGUAAAGAAGCACCGGCUAACUACGUG
This 468-nucleotide ribosomal RNA is filed under the name uncultured bacterium. RNAcentral's name for it is "partial 16S ribosomal RNA". It matches the Rfam family "Bacterial small subunit ribosomal RNA", at positions 28 to 507 of the family's 1533-position model. The record is from RNAcentral.